Molecule: long non-coding RNA, 1645 nt
Filed under: Lynx pardinus (Iberian lynx)
Lineage: Eukaryota; Metazoa; Chordata; Mammalia; Carnivora; Felidae
Source: RNAcentral
UUAUUUCAUCUUUUUUAUUCUCAAAAUAUGAAUAGUAUUCGAGUCCAAGAGGUAUUGGACUUGUGCGAGGCAGACGGAGUCUUCAGGAAUGUGAAAUCAUCUUAUCUCAGAAAGAUAGCAGUAGGUACCUGUGCCAAGUUCAACAGCCCAAAUCACACCUAGGGCAUAUACAUGGCUGUGUGAUACGGCUUGGGCCCCAGCUCUUGAGGAAGAACAGGGGUGGAAACUGUUGAGACAACUGAGCAAGAGAAGCUAGCACAGAAGGGUCUGGUGGGAGAAAUGGUGGAUCUUCCUCUCCUCUCUCUUACUACUUAAGGGCAGAGGCACAUGACCCCAGCAAGGGGCCAAAGCAGGUAGUAGCUACUUGGAUCCUAUUAGGGAGAGGCCAGACCACUCCAGGGCUGGUUAAUUGCCUUUGCCAGGCAGUGGAAUACUAGCCAUAAGAAUAGAGACGAACUGUUCCAAUUUCUGUGCAGCUUUUUUCCCGGACUCUAAUACUUCCUCAUGAUUGGCCUUCUCCUUGGUUUCAUAAUCCUGGAUGACUUUGUUAGUGAUUAGGGAGAAGCCAAAGACUCGAAGUCCACAGUGCCUUGCAACUAUAACUUCUGGUACUGUGCUCAUGCCUGAUGAGGAGAGAGAGGGAAAACAACUGUCAGGACCCUCAAAUGACUCUUUUCUUUACCCUCUGCCCUCAUCCCCAUUCAUUACCUCAUUGACAAUUCCACAUCUCAAAAAAACAUCCAAAGAAACAGGUGAUUUCUUGUCUAGCUUAGGUUAUUCUGUAUUGCUUAAAAGAGUGGGGCUUCAGAGGACCUUACACUUUUCUUAUAAGUAUUACCACUGCAAUGCUUUAUUUCUGUUUGUGGUCAUUUUGAAGUCAGUUCUAAUGAUGCGGUUCCAUCUUCCAGCCAGAGGUACAGAAAGCAGCUAUAUUUUUAGAACAAUCUUCAGAAACAUCAAAUCAUGGAUGGGUCAUUAGCAUUAUAGCUGUUAAAGCCCUAGGUGCUGGGUAGGGAGGUUUAAUGCUAUAACACACCAAACCCCAACACCUUUAAAGUCAGUUUAACUCAAUCUUCCCUUAAGUCAGAUCUCUCACUUUACGGUCUAGGUCUACAAUCUUACACCUUUCCAUCCCUAUUUUACCAGAUCCCUCCCUGUUCAAGCCUCCAGUCGGUUCCCCUUCUCACCAACAGCAUCUGCCCCCAGCUUCUGCAGCAGCCGACACUCGGCCACAGUCUCAAAGGAGGGGCCUGCCAACAUCACAUAGGUGCCUUCCUGAAGCUCUCUCUGCUCCCCCAUUUGUUUCCAGACACUGUGAGCCUUCUGUCUCAUAUCCCGGUCAUAGGCAUCAGACAUGGCAGGGAAACGAACUCCGAACCUAGGGCACAGGUUGGAAUCUCAGAUUACUGGAACAUAAUGAGUUCUGACCCCCAGACAAGUCCUUAAACUGUACCCAGCUAUUGAAAAAAUUUGCAAGAUACAUACCUAUCCUCAUUGGGCCCUCUGAGAGGGUUCAAACCACAGAAACCAGGUAGGUUGAUGUGGUCGCGGAUCAGCAUGAUAUCUCCAACCUCAAAUUUGGGGUUGAGUCCUCCAGCUGCAUUGGUGACCACUAGGGUGUCCACACCCAGAAGGUAGAAAACCC